Long non-coding RNA from Perca flavescens (yellow perch), 436 nucleotides. RefSeq lists it as uncharacterized. The record is from RefSeq and is a predicted model, not a curated record. The transcript has 5 exons. Lineage: Eukaryota; Metazoa; Chordata; Actinopteri; Perciformes; Percidae.
CUGAUUCAGAGGUGAUCAUUACAAGCAGAAGUGCUGCUGAAUUCAAUUCAGCUGAUACAGUACUAUUUAAACCAAUCUUGACCAGUACCAGUAUUGGUGUUGAAGAAACUCCACACCGUGAUCCAGAAACUAUGAUCUUACUUUCCGAAGCAGAAGACUGCCCAGGAACAUCAGGAAGUGCAUUGGAAACUACAUGUUAUAGAAAAUACACAGAACUGUAUGCACCCAUUAUAGUAGAGGAUUCAGAGACCUCCGGAGACAGUGAUGCUGUCACUCAUGAUAUUUCAGAGGAUCCAGAGAUAGAACAGAGACCCAUUUCAGAAGUGAUUGCAAACCUGGCACUCCAGAUUGAUCGCCACGCAGUCAGCAGAUUUCACAUUUGCCGCUCUGACAUCUGGGAUGGUGCCGUCAGAGGAUUCAAAAGAGGAACAUUCUC